RNAcentral lists this ribosomal RNA (429 nucleotides) under Actinomycetes bacterium. Its description in RNAcentral is "Actinobacteria bacterium partial 16S ribosomal RNA". It matches the Rfam family "Bacterial small subunit ribosomal RNA", at positions 355 to 776 of the family's 1533-position model. The record is from RNAcentral. Lineage: Bacteria; Bacillati; Actinomycetota; Actinomycetes.
UAGGGAAUCUUCCGCAAUGGGCGAAAGCCUGCCGGAGCAACGCCGCGUGAGUGAUGAAGGUCUUCGGAUCGUAAAACUCUGUUAUUAGGGAAGAACAAAUGUGUAAGUAACUAUGCACGUCUUGACGGUACCUAAUCAGAAAGCCACGGCUAACUACGUGCCAGCAGCCGCGGUAAUACGUAGGUGGCAAGCGUUAUCCGGAAUUAUUGGGCGUAAAGCGCGCGUAGGCGGUUUUUUAAGUCUGAUGUGAAAGCCCACGGCUCAACCGUGGAGGGUCAUUGGAAACUGGAAAACUUGAGUGCAGAAGAGGAAAGUGGAAUUCCAUGUGUAGCGGUGAAAUGCGCAGAGAUAUGGAGGAACACCAGUGGAGAAGGCGACUUUCUGGUCUGUAACUGACGCUGAUGUGCGAAAGCGUGGGGAUCAAACAGG